This 679-nucleotide ribosomal RNA is filed under the name Escherichia sp. RNAcentral describes it as "bacterial SSU rRNA". It matches the Rfam family "Bacterial small subunit ribosomal RNA", at positions 764 to 1443 of the family's 1533-position model. The record is from RNAcentral. Lineage: Bacteria; Pseudomonadati; Pseudomonadota; Gammaproteobacteria; Enterobacterales; Enterobacteriaceae.
GGGAGCAAACAGGAUUAGAUACCCUGGUAGUCCACGCCGUAAACGAUGUCGACUUGGAGGUUGUGCCCUUGAGGCGUGGCUUCCGGAGCUAACGCGUUAAGUCGACCGCCUGGGGAGUACGGCCGCAAGGUUAAAACUCAAAUGAAUUGACGGGGGCCCGCACAAGCGGUGGAGCAUGUGGUUUAAUUCGAUGCAACGCGAAGAACCUUACCUGGUCUUGACAUCCACGGAAGUUUCCAGAGAUGAGAAUGUGCCUUCGGGAACCGUGAGACAGGUGCUGCAUGGCUGUCGUCAGCUCGUGUUGUGAAAUGUUGGGUUAAGUCCCGCAACGAGCGCAACCCUUAUCCUUUGUUGCCAGCGGUCCGGCCGGGAACUCAAAGGAGACUGCCAGUGAUAAACUGGAGGAAGGUGGGGAUGACGUCAAGUCAUCAUGGCCCUUACGACCAGGGCUACACACGUGCUACAAUGGCGCAUACAAAGAGAAGCGACCUCGCGAGAGCAAGCGGACCUCAUAAAGUGCGUCGUAGUCCGGAUUGGAGUCUGCAACUCGACUCCAUGAAGUCGGAAUCGCUAGUAAUCGUGGAUCAGAAUGCCACGGUGAAUACGUUCCCGGGCCUUGUACACACCGCCCGUCACACCAUGGGAGUGGGUUGCAAAAGAAGUAGGUAGCUUAACCUUC